CAGAGUUCGUGCCCUUACGGGUAGAUCUCCCACCCUGUGUUAUCGUUACCUUUGUUGCUUUGGCGGGCCGCCCGGCCUCGGUCAGGCUACCGGCUCACGCUGGUAAGCGCCCGCCAGAGGACCCCUAAACUCUGAAUGUUAAUGUCGUCUGAGUAUUAUAAAAUAAUUA
Molecule: unclassified non-coding RNA, 169 nt
Filed under: uncultured Leptodontidium
Lineage: Eukaryota; Fungi; Ascomycota
Description: sequence contains ITS1
Source: RNAcentral